AUGGAAACGCCGGAUCCUCAGCCCACUGAGCAAGGCCAGGGAUAGAACUUGUGUCUUCAUGGAUGCUAGUCACAUUUGUUUCCGCUGAGCCACGUCAGGAACUCUAUUGUGUACCAGGCACUGGAGAGACACCAGUGGGAAAAACCACAGAGUUGUAGCAAGCUGUGGGGUGUUAAAUAUCCAACAAAAAUGAUAGAUGGGCCGAUGGAUGGAUGGGUGGAUGGAUGGAGUUUGAGAUAGUGGCACAAUGAGAUAGGUGUGUGUGGCAGGGGUGGUCCAUGUCAAGAAGAAAAACAUCACAAGGUAAAGAUCACAGAGACUGGGUGGGAGAAGAGAUCCUUAUUUCUAAAGCCUUUCCAGGGACGGUCCCUCCGCAAGCAUUAAUAGUUUAAUGGAGUGAGAAAAUAACUGCUAAAUUCUACUCCAUAAAAAAAAAGGGCACCAAAUAAAAUUUAAAUUUUUUAAAAAAGAUUCCAUUUCCAGGCACUGUUUCAAACAUUGGAGUGACUCUCUGAGCAGAGGGAACAUGCCAUCCAAGCAGAUAGGCAGCCCUUGCCCCUGGGACACGUGAAAGGCUGGUGUGCUGAUCUCACAAGCUAGAGUAAGGGGAGAACAGUGCCACGGGUGGCAGCAAGGGGUGUGUGCAGUGGCCAACCCAGCCCCAGUGGUGACCAAAUGCAUAAGGAGGCUGCAGAGUGAGGGGAUCUCUUUUGUGCCAAGAGACAAUCGUGGUGCCAGGCUGUGAGCACCCCCCCCCCCCCCCCCCCCCCCCCCCCCCCCCNGUUUCCCACCCUAUCUACAGCACCAAGAGUAUUGGCUGCAUGUGGCACGUCUGGGCAACCUUUGAUACAUUCACUGUGUGAUACGAUACCCUUGACACCAGAGAAGGGAGGAUUAAUAUAUGGAGCAGAGAUAGAGUUCACAGUGCCCUGGAGCCUGACACAGACACACUCAGGAACAAUUUGACCAAUGCCUGGGACAUUAAACCAUGUUUGGAGAAUGUCACAACUUGCCAUCAGGUGCCACCAAGGCAAAGGGAUUAAAGCAGUGGGAACUCUCUGGGCAGAACUUGAGACACAGUCUUGAAACAGCAUCCUUGGUGUUCUGUGGAUUUCCAUUCACUGCCUAUUAUGUGCAGACACAGGGCAUACGGAGAUGAACGAGGAAGGAAAAUUCCGUCUUCCUAGAGUUCAUAGACUAGGGUGGGACCCAGGCAAAGAGCAUGGAACCCCAUCAGUGAUCAAGCAAUAGUACAAACAAAAGGCUUUGGAGGAAAUGCACUGGGCAGUGGGAUGGGGGAACUGGAGUGGGGUCGGAGGGGGAGCAGCCUAGGGAGGUGGUCAGGGAACAUGUCACAAAGGAAGCGCAGAUCCUGAAGGCAAUGUCAUAUGAAGAUCCGGGAAAGGAAGCCCAGGUGGAAAAAGCAGUGGCUGUUGGGACAGGACCAAGCAGGGCACACCUGAGGGCCAGAGGAAAGGCCAGUUUAGAGCCUAGCGAUGAAGGGCUGUGGCUGGAGGAGAGCUCUGAACAGAUCGUGGUGGGGACUCAGCUGCCAUGGGAAGCUGUUGGGAAGCUGUUGGGGACUUUAAGCUGUAACAUUAUCUGCUUUCUUCUCUGGGAAAACUCCUUCCAGCCACUCCAUGGAGAAGGGCACCCUGUGGUGACAAGAUGGUGGCAGAGAAACCAGUUAGGAGGCCGGGGAUGAGGCAUGAGUUGCAUUCUGGUCACUAAAUAUAAGAAGUGCUUAUUGGAUUUAGGGUGUUUUUGGAGAUGACAUUAAGGAUUCACUGGUGAAUUGGAAAUGGGGGCAACAAAAUGAGAGGAAUCAGGAAAAGUUCUGGGAUUUUUGUUCUGAGCAAUGUCCAGUGGGUGCCAACUCUGAAAAUGAGGACUAAUUGGUCACGAGGAGUUCCCGUUGUGGUUCAGCAGGUUAAACAUCCAUGACAUAAUGUCCGUGAGGACGCCAGUUCGAUCCCCGGCCUUGCUCAGUGUGUUAAGGAUCCAGUGUUGCCAUAAGCUGAGGUGUAAAUCGAAGAUUUGGCUCUGAUUCUGAAACUUACAGCACUAAUGACUUGAACCUAGCCAGAACCCAGACUGGGACCUGAACCCACAGUUUGUUUUGUGUGUGGGGGAGUGUUGUUGUGGGAGUUUUUUGUUUUUUGGGGGGGUGUUUUGUUCUGUUUUUGCUUUUUAGAGCCACACCCGCAACAUAUGGAAGUUGCCAGGCUGGCGGCUACAGCUCUGAUUGGACCCCUAGCCUGGGAACCUCCAUAUGCUGCGGGAGCGGCCCUAGAAAUGGCAAAAAGACAAAAAAAAAAGAAAGGAAAAUACAUAGGCAUGUAAAUUUUAGCACUAUAAAAUUCAUAUACAUGUUAAGACAAACAAGGUAAAGUUGCAAUUUGGUAAAUGAUUAGGCACCAACUGAAUGGUACAGCUUUCAGGAUCCUGGUGCGUUUUUUCUACAGCAUGAUUUAAAGUCAGUCCAUUGGUGUCUGUGCCUCCUGUCAGUACACACAAUUCUGGGGAGAAGCAUAACUAAGUCAGUAACUUAUUUUGCAAAUUAGCAACACUUGCUGCAUUUUCCAGGUGUGCUUUUGUUGUCUCUCUAGAGAAAGGCUUAAAGAAAGAAGAAUGACGAUGUGCUUCUUUUAAGUGCACAAAAAAGAGUGUAAUGUUGAUGGAGCCAGGAGUCCCCACUGAUCUACAUCCAAUGUUCAUUAGCCAAGUCCCUGCUGUUAGCAGUUUGCACAGAGAAGCAAAGUUGUCAAAACACAUAAUAUUCAUUAAUGAGCAGAGCCUUUGAAAAACCUGCCCCCCAUACAUCUUUCCUAAUUAACAAUAACGCUUUUUCCCACCCAUUAUCUCCGUCUCUGUGUCCAGUUUACAGCUAUUGGUUGGACCUUCUAACAUCCCUUAAAAGUGCAGGUUUCACAAAGCUGAUGUGUGGCAGAAUUGCUCACACUCCACAUGCAAAGGUGUUAAUGAAUGAGGAUCUCACUGUUGAGGAAGAAAAUGAGACGAGGAUGAUGACACAGGCCCUAUAACCCUUCCAAAAAAAAAAAAAAACGAUUCAUCUAGGAAGGGCUUAGGACAGAGCCUCGGAAAACUUGAACCCUUGAAUAUCUUCCCCCAGCCUCUCUCUGUGACUAUGGGCAAGUAAAAGCCAAAGGGGACGCUGUGAUGUCACAUCCUGCUGCUAUUUUAUGGGGAAAUUACACCAAGGAGCAAUCAGUGCUUGAUUCCAGUCCCAUUCAUUGAUAGCAACCAGGUCGUGCUUGCUCUUAGAAUGUACAUUUGGGGGAAAACAUUAGAGCCAACAUUUUAUUUCUCAAAAUUAAAAAAAAAAAAGUAACCAUUUUGGAGUUCCCGCUGUGGCACUGUCGGUUAGGGAUCCAGUGUGGUCUCUGCAGUGGCUCGGGGUGCAGCUGUAGCUGGGAUUUGACCCCUGGCCCAGAAACUUCCAUAUGCCUUAGAUGUGGUAGGGGAAAAAAAAAAACACACACAGAAAACAAAAAAAUUUUUUACUAAUACAGCUUUUCAUGUCAGAUAAUUUAUGUGCAGGCAUCUUUUUCCUCUGCCAGCACUCCCCAUGUUUAUUAUGUUUAAAUAACAGGAGAAACUUCCUUCUCUGAAAAAGAACUUUGAGAUCAAAACGUGUUUCCUUGCGGGGGUGGGAGGUGUCCUCUGCAUUCAGGGGAGUCAGUGGAAGUGAUGAUAGUAACGAGCUUUGAGGUGUUUGACAUCAAACUGAACCAGCACUUGUUCAUCUUGGUCAUAACCAGGAAUCCUCAAUUUGUAUUCACCAAGUCCAUAUGCCAGUGUGGGACUGCAUCCCAGGACACUCAGGUAGAAAACUGUUUAUUGGGUCCCACUGUGGUGCACUGGGUUAAGGAUCUGGUGUUGUCUCUGCAGCAGCUCUGGUCACUGCCAAGGCACAGGCUCGAUCCCUGGCUCAACGCAGUGAGUUAAGGAUCCGAUGUUGCCGCAACUGUGGCAUAGGUUGCAACUGCAGCUCAGAUUCAGUCCCCGGCCCGGGAACUUCCACAUGCAGUGGGUAUGGCCAAAAGAAAGAAAAAAAAUUGCUUAUUUGUUCUCCUUCUGAGCUAGUUCCCAUCCCCUUACAUCGGCUAGCUACUCCAGUUCCAAGGAAAUAAAGCUUUGCCCAAAAGCUGGUGCCUUCUUCUUAUUCUUUCUUUGCUUUUUCUCUUCUCUUCCUCCUCCUCCACUUCCUCCGUUGUCUUUCUUUUUUUGUUGUUGUUUUGUUUUGUUUUGUUUGUUUUUUUAUCACAUCUUAUUUCACUUGCACAAGGAUACCGUGGGACCUUCCAACUACUCUUUCUCACAAUGUAGAACAUUGAUGCUAACAGCCCUUAGAGCCAAUUUAGUCCACUUCAUUCACUUUACAGAUGAGGAAACUGUGGCUGGAGCAGCAGGGGAGACUGAAUGGGGCCCCUCUUGCCCCCUCACACACACACCUCCCUGCACCCUCAUCCAAAACUCUAAGCAGUAUUUGUCCUCCUGGCAGCUGUCUUCCAUCCUGGUAGGGAUGGCACUGACGUAGCCUACACCAGAUCUCAGAGACCUUCCUGCCAUCUCCACUUCUAUAUUCCCCCAAAGUAGACCCCCAGACAAAGAUUGGGGAGCAGGUCAUGUGUUUGGGACUGGAUCCUAGGAAACUCCGUUGUGACAAUGGGAAAGAGAGACCAUGCACCCACAGAAAGAAGACACCAAGCAGGUCACUGCUCUGGGCACCCGGGACUCAGCCCCACGGUGGGGGGGGGGGGCCUCUGGGAGGCAGUGGGGAGCACGUACUCCUCGGGGGUGAGGGGCUGUGGGGGUGUGCACCAGCUGAGGGCAGAGCAGACUCUGCAGCCAGCAACCCUCCAGGCAAAGUCAUCGGUGCUGGAAGUUGGGGGUCCAGCCUGAGUCCAGCCUGGAAGUGGUGGGUGCUGUGGAGACACAGAUAGGAAAUCAGCCAUGCUCUCCACACACCACAUCCUGGAAGCUCACCACAGAGGGUCCACUCCUACUGUCAUGGGAAGAUACUGAGUUCCUUUCUCAAGAGGGAUGGGAGGAAGGGGACCUAGAACGCAUGAUGGGCCUAAAUCCAAGUGACUCCCUGCUCCCAGAAUGGAUCCUUUGGGGCAAAUCUCAUCGACACACGAAAUGCUACAGAUCCAGUGGGUUGGUGGACUAAGUUUGGGAUAAAAGAUACGUUUUAUCCAGCCUGUCUCCACAACAAGAUCCUACACCUUUCUGCCUGUUCUUCAGUCUUUCAGCUGAAGGUGUGUCCAUCACUGAUGUGGUUUUUGGGACAGAGGAGUGGAAUCAAGAGAUUCUUAGAGUUCUCCUGUGGUGCAGCAGGUUAAGGUUCUGGCGUUGUCUCUGUAGCAGCUGUGUUAUGGGCUCAAUCCCUGGCCUGGGAACUUCCACAGAUCUCAGGUGCAGCCAAAAAGAGAGAGAUUCAUGGCAAGCAGUCAUCACUCUGAUAUCUCAACUAUAAUUCCUGAUUCGUCCAUCAGGACUCUCUCAGCAGAAGAGUUAUUUCAUCAAUAAAGCCACUGCAGUGAUGGAUUGACUUGGGGAAAUGCAUCUGACUGCUGCUGAACCAUAGGUCAAGGUCAGACCUUCUUCAGAGUCUUUAUGACCUUCAGGAAUUGGUGUAGUUUUUUCCUCUUCCACUGCCCUCAAAUCAAGUCAAAACUUCUUCAAAAAGGAAAAAAAAAAAA
This 5729-nucleotide long non-coding RNA is filed under the name Sus scrofa (pig). Its description in RNAcentral is "lncRNA (ENSSSCG00065044045.1)". Lineage: Eukaryota; Metazoa; Chordata; Mammalia; Artiodactyla; Suidae. The record is from RNAcentral.